UUUUUUCAGGCAGCUCAGAAGCAGAACUACUGCUCACAGGGCGGGGCGCAGCCCAUUUUUCUCUUGCUUAAACCACACAGUCCUGUUUCAACAAAUGGCAGAAAGAGGUUUUUCGAUGGACCAGAUGGGACCCCUGGACCGCUUGCUUCACCAGACGCAAGUGGACUCCUGGAAUCCCUUUGAGAUCGGCCCUUGAUAGAAUUGCCCAAACGAGGGCCCUCUUCCUACCCCAUUCCCCUUCGUUGUCACCCUCUCGCAUCCCACAGGCCAGGCGUUGUGUCCCUCGGAGCGCAAAGCCCUCCACCGCAGGUACUGGACUGGGAGGAUUUCAGGAGCCCAGGAUUUCGCUUACAAGAUCCUUGUUGCAGGAUUCAGGGAAGGCGCAACCACAUCGGGUAAUGGCGUGGGCCCCCCCGCAGCCUUCACAGGGCCCCCGGAAAGGACACAGUACAAUACGGUCCCUGGGCAUAGCAGACGUUUUUAUUUUAACAUUUCUGAAUAGAAAUUGAAUCAUGUAAGCUACUAUUAUUGAUAUGGUUCUAUUUAAUGUGUAUUUCAUAUUACAAAAAAACAAAACAAAAAGGGAAAAAUUUAUAACAAGAAAGGGUACAAUUCGAGACUAUUUUAGCCACUUUCUCUCUGGCCUUUGCUGCCACCUAGCAGAAAUACCUUUCUAUUGAAAACGUCAAUUUUAAUAGAAAGUGUUUCCCCCCCCCCUUGAAGAAUGGGAUGAUGACUAGAGUGAGCCCAUUCUGACCUUCCCUGGGCAAUGACGGCCCCCUCCUGGCUUCUCCUUCAACUCCGGAAACAACACUGGGUGGCUUCUCAUGUGAACGAAGGAAGAAGAAGGUGCAUGGAUCGGCCAGUUCUGCCCCUUGAAUCUUAAUGCUUUACUUUAUUGGUUGAUUGCUUAAAACCAUAGGUCAUCGCAAUAUAUCCAUGACAGCAUCAAACAUACGUGGCACGGUCAUAUCACAAUUACACUUAAAAAGAAAGAUUUAGGAUUUUUGAUGCUUGGCACGACUCUUCUUGGCUGCCAUGGCAAAUUUUGCUACUUGAUGGGUAGUCCUUACAUCCCUGCCCACAAGCAGCCUGCAGAGUUGAGCCAAGGGAGGGCUGUCACGCAAAGUUCUAAGUCUGCCUGCAAGGAAUUUACUCCCAGGGUGAUCCUAUAAUGACUCCUUCUCCUCCUGAUUGAGAAAAGAGGUUUUUAAAGGUACUGGCUGCAAGUGGCGGCUCUUGAGUGGAAUAACGGUGCCGUUUGUAAGAUGUCUCCUCCU
This 1280-nucleotide long non-coding RNA is filed under the name Pogona vitticeps (central bearded dragon). RNAcentral's name for it is "lncRNA (ENSPVIG00000001713.1)". Lineage: Eukaryota; Metazoa; Chordata; Lepidosauria; Squamata; Agamidae. The record is from RNAcentral.